UACGAAGGGGGCUAGCGUUGCUCGGAAUCACUGGGCGUAAAGCGCACGUAGGCGGGUCCUUAAGUCAGGGGUGAAAUCCUGGAGCUCAACUCCAGAACUGCCUUUGAUACUGAGGAUCUCGAGUUCGGGAGAGGUGAGUGGAACUGCGAGUGUAGAGGUGAAAUUCGUAGAUAUUCGCAAGAACACCAGUGGCGAAGGCGGCUCACUGGCCCGAUACUGACGCUGAGGUGCGAAAGCGUGGGGAGCAAACAGG
RNAcentral lists this ribosomal RNA (253 nucleotides) under uncultured bacterium. RNAcentral's name for it is "partial 16S ribosomal RNA". It matches the Rfam family "Bacterial small subunit ribosomal RNA", at positions 524 to 776 of the family's 1533-position model. RNAcentral also lists the same sequence under 1 other name. The record is from RNAcentral.